UAGGGAAUCUUCCGCAAUGGACGAAAGUCUGACGGAGCAACGCCGCGUGAGUGAAGAAGGAUUUCGGUUCGUAAAACUCUGUUGUUAGGGAAGAAAAAAUGUAUAGUAACUAUAUACAAAAGAGACGGUACCUAACCAGAAAGCCACGGCUAACUACGUGCCAGCAGCCGCGGUAAUACGUAGGUGGCAAGCGUUGUCCGGAAUUAUUGGGCGUAAAGCGCGCGCGGGUGGUUUAGAAAGUCUGAUGUGAAAGCCCACGGCUCAACCGUGGAGGGUCAUUGGAAACUAAUAAACUUGAGUGCAGGAGAGAAAAGUGGAAUUCCUAGUGUAGCGGUGAAAUGCGUAGAGAUUAGGAGGAACACCGGUGGCGAAGGCGACUUUCUGGACUUUUACUGACGCUCAGGUACGAAAGCGUGGGGAGCAAACAGG
This 429-nucleotide ribosomal RNA is filed under the name Verrucomicrobiota bacterium. Its description in RNAcentral is "Verrucomicrobia bacterium partial 16S ribosomal RNA". It matches the Rfam family "Bacterial small subunit ribosomal RNA", at positions 355 to 776 of the family's 1533-position model. Lineage: Bacteria; Pseudomonadati; Verrucomicrobiota. The record is from RNAcentral.